GUGGUCCUACGGGCAGGCAGCAGUGAGGAAUAUUGGUCAAUGGGCGGGAGCCUGAACCAGCCAAGCCGCGUGAGGGAAGAAGGUACAGCGUAUCGUACACCUCUUUUGUCAGGGAACAAAGGCGGGGACUAGUCCCCGGAUGAGGGUACCUGAAGAAAAAGCAUCGGCUAACUCCGUGCCAGCAGCCGCGGUAAUACGGAGGAUCCGAGCGUUAUCCGGAUUUAUUGGGUUUAAAGGGAGCGUAGGUGGAUUGUU
Molecule: ribosomal RNA, 255 nt
Filed under: uncultured bacterium
Lineage: Bacteria
Description: partial 16S ribosomal RNA
Rfam family: Bacterial small subunit ribosomal RNA
Source: RNAcentral